RNAcentral lists this ribosomal RNA (253 nucleotides) under uncultured bacterium. RNAcentral's name for it is "partial 16S ribosomal RNA". It matches the Rfam family "Bacterial small subunit ribosomal RNA", at positions 524 to 776 of the family's 1533-position model. The record is from RNAcentral.
UACAGAGGGUGCGAGCGUUAAUCGGAGUUACUGGGCGUAAAGGGCGCGUAGGCGGUUGCUCAAGUAAGAUGUGAAAUCCCCGGGCUUAACCUGGGAACAGCAUUUUAGACUGAGUAACUGGAGUACAGUAGAGGGUGGUGGAAUUUCCGGUGUAGCGGUGAAAUGCGUAGAGAUCGGAAGGAACAUCAGUGGCGAAGGCGACCACCUGGACUGAAACUGACGCUGAGGCGCGAAAGCGUGGGGAGCAAACAGG